AUUUUCCCGGCGGCGGCGUCAGGGGUGGACUCAGGGGCGGAAGGAGCAGAAGCAGCAGCGGCGGCGGGCGAGCUUUAUGCCUGUUUUAUUUCACUGCAAUCCAGUUUAAUGGAGCUGGAGCGACUGCACCGGGCCCGGCCCACGCCCCAGGAUGGACCUGAGACCCACAGCCACCCCCACACUGUUCCUUGGCGAUCCUGUGACACCCCAUAGAUAUGCCACAGCGACCCAUAGACACACACCCCCCCAGCCCCGUAGUGCCCUAUAGGCCCACAACACGUGUCCCCCAGCUUUUAUUGACUCCUGGCGUCAUGAUGUCACCAGGACCGCGAUGACAUCGUCAGCAUCAUCAAUGACACAGUGCCCCAUAGGGCCCCCACUACCCCCCGCAACCUGUAUCCCUUAGUGACCCAGAGCAACCCAUGGACACCUCCUAGAGCCCCUCAGAGCACAGUAGAUCCCCUAUAGAGCCACUCAGCCUCAUAGCCUCCCUGUAGACAUCCCAUAGGGUCCCAGAGCGACCCGUAGCCAUCCCAGAGCAGCUCUUAGCAACCCACAGACACCCCAUAGUUACGUAGACACCCAUAAACACCCAUCACAUAGUGACCCAUAGGCAGUCCCCAGCCAUCCACAGCACCCCAUAGAGGCCCACAGCAACUCCUGGAUACCCUAUACACCCACACAUAGCCCCAUGAUGACCCAUAGACACCCUCCACUGCCACAUAGCACCCCAUACACACCCCCCAUAGUUCCCUAUAGAUGCACAACACACACCCCACGGCUUUUAUUGACUUACGGUGUGACGUCACCAGGACUGCGAUGACAGCAGCAGCAGCAGCAUCGGCAACCACCACGGCACCACAUAGGGCCCCCAUUACCCCGUCGCGCCCCGUAAGUACCCCAACACCAAUCGUUUUUUUAUUUGCUUUCAUGCAUUUUUAUGAACUUUCAUUCACUUUUAUUCGAGAUUCAUUCAGGCUUGUUCACUUUUAUUCCUUUUUUUUUUGCUUUGUAAUAAUUUAUAAUCACAUUAUUCACUUUUGCUUUUUAUUGUCUUUACGCAGUUUUAUUCAGCUUUAUUGGCUUUUUUAUUCAUUUUUUCUUCAGAUUUAUUUGCUUUCUAGUCUCUUUUUUUUAAAUAACUUUUUUUUGUUUUUAAAUGCCCCACAGCGACCCAGAGAAACUCAUAGAGCUCCCCAGCCUCUAUAGACCCCCCAUAGAGAUGCACAGCAACCACUAGAGACUCAUAGAGACCCCAUAAUGUCAUUAAAAAGGGAAUAAAAAGUGAAUCGACCUGACUGCAACUUCAAGUGAACAAAAAUUGACUAAAAAUAAAAAGUGAACUAAACUGAAGAAAUUCAACGAAAAGUGAAAACAAGCAAUUGUAAAUUAUGAAAAAUGAAUAAAA
This 1408-nucleotide long non-coding RNA is filed under the name Strigops habroptila (Kakapo). RNAcentral's name for it is "lncRNA (ENSSHBG00005018409.1)". The record is from RNAcentral. Lineage: Eukaryota; Metazoa; Chordata; Aves; Psittaciformes; Psittacidae.